Small nuclear RNA from Phacochoerus africanus (Common warthog), 107 nucleotides. NCBI's taxonomy places the organism in Eukaryota, Metazoa, Chordata, Mammalia, Artiodactyla, Suidae. The record is from RefSeq and is a predicted model, not a curated record.
GUGCUCGCUUUGGCAGCACAUACACUAAAAUUGGAAGGAUCCAGAGAAGACUGGCAUGGCCUCUGUGUAAGGAUGACACGCAAAUUCCUGAAGCAUUCCAUUUUUUU